CAGAGGUUCUGUUUAUUUGACCACUUUGAGGUCACAUGGGGUAGCUUAACUUUGGACAAAAUCUUGCUGAUACCAGGCUGUCCACAAGCCCAGUGGAGAAGGUAAGAACUGAAGGGAAGCUGUGCAUGGAAUCUGAUGCUUGUGCGGAGUGAACCUCUUCCCACACGGAUCUUCCCCCGUCUUUAUUCGGGUGAAGAUUAUGACAAGGCCUUUCAAGAUACUGGAACCACAAGGUAGAAGAAGCCUCUGUUGCCAAGGAGAAAAUUUGCCCACAGACUAGGAGCUCCUGCAGUGGAUGGUUAGAAAUACACUUCCUUUGAGCUCUGGUACUAUUUGAAUUUAUUUGGUAAAGCAGUAGUAUUAUAUUAAUGCAUGCUUAUUUUCAUUGUGUCCU
RNAcentral lists this long non-coding RNA (394 nucleotides) under Felis catus (domestic cat). RNAcentral describes it as "lncRNA (ENSFCAG00000043672.2)". The record is from RNAcentral. Lineage: Eukaryota; Metazoa; Chordata; Mammalia; Carnivora; Felidae.